AGGAACAGCGGCUUGAGGACCGAAAGCCUUAGCACACGUCUUCAGGAGUUGCUGAGGCUCCCAGGGGCACACAGCUCCAAUCCAAAUAGAAUCCGUCCACUGGCAGCGCUGGACUCGAUUGGGCACAAACAGGAUAGACGGAGAUAAAAAUGCGUUCAUUAUCCCAUCUGCGGCGGCUUGAAUGAGAGAAAAGUGCUUCUGUAUCAGGCAACGCAAGCCACCCAAACCUUUUUACUUCUAUUAAAAAACAUGAAGGUAA
Molecule: non-coding RNA, 259 nt
Organism: Macaca mulatta (Rhesus monkey)
Lineage: Eukaryota; Metazoa; Chordata; Mammalia; Primates; Cercopithecidae
Source: RefSeq, a predicted model, not a curated record